CAAAAUAAAGCUUAAAAGUAAAGCGUCUCACUUACAUUGAGAAGAUUUAUUGUGCGAAUCAAUUUGUUUUGA
Molecule: transfer RNA, 72 nt
Filed under: Blepharipoda liberata
Lineage: Eukaryota; Metazoa; Arthropoda; Malacostraca; Decapoda; Blepharipodidae
Description: tRNA-Val
Rfam family: tRNA
About the family: Transfer RNA (tRNA) molecules are approximately 80 nucleotides in length. Their secondary structure includes four short double-helical elements and three loops (D, anti-codon, and T loops).
Source: RNAcentral